GAUCAAUUACCUCUUACCUCCAUCAGCAACAAAAGCGUAUCUGCACUGCAGCCUAGCUAGCUUUGCUUUCACUUCCAAGAGCCCUCUAUCUUAUCAUCUCAAAGAGUUCAGUUAAAUCUAGCAGAGCCAGAGAGACUACAUCAACUAGUUUAAAAUGGACCACUGAGAGGUGUGCUUUUGUGUCCGCAAGGGAUCUUUGUCUUCUGAUUUCACUUCUUUUUCCAUCUCUCUCUCCUAUGUGAUAAUGACCUUCCCUCAAUGGAGACCCCAACAAUACACACCUACGCGUGAUUUAUUCGGAAAUUUUUUGGCAAGUUACAACUAAAAAUUCGACCACUAUAUAAUAUUUUUUAAUAUUUUAAUAUAUAUUAUUUUAAUUUAAUAAUGUGUGAAAAUUUUGUGUGUAUUAUUUUUACUCAAUGGCAGGAGUUCGGAAUCCGUUGGAAGCACUUUGUGGUCAG
This 461-nucleotide long non-coding RNA is filed under the name Prunus persica (peach). Its description in RNAcentral is "long non-coding RNA (PPER_LNC006665)". The record is from RNAcentral. Lineage: Eukaryota; Viridiplantae; Streptophyta; Magnoliopsida; Rosales; Rosaceae.